UCAGCAGCUGGCUUCUCUUCCUCAACAGCUUCAGGCUUCUCUUCUUCCUUAACCACUACCUCUUCUUUAGGAUCUUCAGCCGCUGGUUCCGAUACCGGCUCCGGGGCAAUUGGUUCGGCAGAAGGAGCCUCAGCAGAGUCGUCAAUAUUCAAUUUCUCCUUAGUCUCCUCUACAAGUUCUGGCUCAGCAGUCUUCUCUACUGUUGGUUCUUCUGCUUCUUCUUUGGCCACAACAUCUUCCUUCGCCUCCUCCACCACCUUCACCUCCUUUGUCUCAACCUCAACUGGGGUGGUUUCAUCAGCUUCUGCAGCCUCAGCCUUAGGAACUUCACCAGAAGCCACAACA
This 345-nucleotide long non-coding RNA is filed under the name Prunus persica (peach). RNAcentral describes it as "long non-coding RNA (PPER_LNC003810)". Lineage: Eukaryota; Viridiplantae; Streptophyta; Magnoliopsida; Rosales; Rosaceae. The record is from RNAcentral.